UCGCUCGGAAAGAGGACCAAAAUGGAGGAGUAAGAAUCAUGAUUAAAUUGAGCGAGCGCAACUAAUCACGCGAAGAGGGCCGCAGGCGGGCCGUCUUCCGCAAGCGUGCUUCCAGGCCUCCACUCCCCACCUAUUCGGCGGUGCCCUGUUACUUCUGCGCCUGCGCGCUGCUUCCCGCGACCUCACAGGCAGAGCGAACACGCACGGAGUCGCAGGGGCGCGCAAAGGGGGAGGAGCGGGCGGGACCAGGCGCGCGCGCGCGUCUGGAGUGACUAGAGAGCAGGAGCAGAUCCGGGGUAGAGGGAAAAGAGCUCCGGGCCAGGGGCUGCCGUCGCCGCCGUCGGGGAGUCAGCCCGCCAGCCCGCCAGCUCGUCAGCCAGCCAGCCAGCGCUUCGCGGGCCCUGUCGGUCCCGGUAAGCGGGCCUGCGCUUACCGGAAAGAGGAGCGUAAGAUGAAAGAGUUUCUUGCGGCCCCAUAACUUUUUCUUGGUGUUCUAUGGCUUUACGAAUGGAGGAGCCAACUGGGCCUGGGCCAUUCGGGUGGUU
RNAcentral lists this small RNA (545 nucleotides) under Pan troglodytes (chimpanzee). RNAcentral describes it as "processed transcript". Lineage: Eukaryota; Metazoa; Chordata; Mammalia; Primates; Hominidae. The record is from RNAcentral.